This 106-nucleotide transfer RNA is filed under the name Escherichia coli. RNAcentral describes it as "tRNA-Val". It matches the Rfam family "tRNA". From Rfam's summary of the family: Transfer RNA (tRNA) molecules are approximately 80 nucleotides in length. Their secondary structure includes four short double-helical elements and three loops (D, anti-codon, and T loops). The record is from RNAcentral. Lineage: Bacteria; Pseudomonadati; Pseudomonadota; Gammaproteobacteria; Enterobacterales; Enterobacteriaceae.
GGGUGAUUAGCUCAGCUGGGAGAGCACCUCCCUUACAAGGAGGAGUUGGUAGAGCAGUUGACUUUUAAUCAAUUGGUCGCAGGUUCGAAUCCUGCACGACCCACCA